CCUACGGGUGGCUGCAGUGGGGAAUAUUGGGCAAUGGGGGAAACCCUGACCCAGCCAUGCCGCGUGAGUGAUGAAGGCCUUCGGGUCGUAAAGCUCUGUGGGGAGGGAAAAAGCGAUGUGCCGUGAACAAUGGCGUGUUGUGAUGGUACCUCCUUAGCAAGCACCGGCUAACUCUGUGCCAGCAGCCGCGGUAAUACAGAGGGUGCAAACGUUGCUCGGAAUUAUUGGGCGUAAAGCGCACGUAGGCGGUAUCGUAAGUCCGAUGUGAAAGCCCC
Molecule: ribosomal RNA, 275 nt
Filed under: uncultured bacterium
Lineage: Bacteria
Description: partial 16S ribosomal RNA
Rfam family: Bacterial small subunit ribosomal RNA
Source: RNAcentral